This is a long non-coding RNA of Phyllostomus hastatus (greater spear-nosed bat), 216 nucleotides long. RefSeq lists it as uncharacterized. The transcript has 3 exons. NCBI's taxonomy places the organism in Eukaryota, Metazoa, Chordata, Mammalia, Chiroptera, Phyllostomidae. The record is from RefSeq and is a predicted model, not a curated record.
AGGCUGCUGUUUUCCUGAUCCUUAGUCUACUGAGUGCAGAAUUUUAUGGGAGCUUUAGAUGUCUCACUGGUGACAGAAACCUAACUUGAACAAGCUUAAGAAGAAAAUGGAGAUUAUUCAUUUAUAAUUCAUGAAAAGUGCUGAGACCCAUAACUACUGAGCUGUUUGCGACCUACUGUGAGACUGACACAUCAACCUCGGUUUCAUCAGGACAGA